RNAcentral lists this long non-coding RNA (1699 nucleotides) under Salmo salar (Atlantic salmon). RNAcentral's name for it is "lncRNA (ENSSSAG00000105407.1)". The record is from RNAcentral. Lineage: Eukaryota; Metazoa; Chordata; Actinopteri; Salmoniformes; Salmonidae.
CACAACCAGACCUUCUGGCCGGCAGCCCUGUGGCUAUCAACACUUCUGUCUUGCCAUAAAAUGCUUACACAAUUUCAAAAACUGCAUAUCUAAGGCUCUGGUCUGUCCAAUAAGUGGGGGUAAAUGGUAAACAUGCUCUCUGCUAUCCACGUUAUAUUUUUUAUUUUGGGUAUAGGGGAGGGUCACCUUUUUUAAGCGUCAGGGAGGGUUUAGGUAAAAUAUGUUUUGCUGAAAGGGGAGGACCAUCCAUUUUCAUUUCAGAGAGGUCCGAUUUUCAGAGAGGUGUCUUCUUAUAAAUAACGUUCACAACCCUUACUAUGCUCGUUACCAAUGAGUAGAUGGGAUGGGGCAGGACAUGCAGUGCGUCAAGCAUCUCAAAUAAAACCAAAAAACUGUCUACACAGACGCCCGGACUACGGAGAUGCCGGUUGAUGAGCGGGAGCAGCUUGGAUGAAAUGAUUGAAUAACACUUAUGUGUACAUUUAUUUCGUUGCGCUCGCACACGCAACCUGGGCGGUCUAGUCACGGAGUCAAGCGCUUCAUGGUGGAUUCAUUAGAGGAGUUUCUCUAGUUUCAAGAAACUUUAUUCUAAUAUGUACAUGUACUAGGCUAUAGAUACAGUAUGUUUACGAUUGUAGCCUAAAAUACGCUGAUUUCAAGAUAAUAGUGUGGAACACACACACUUGGAAAGACUAACGCAGUGAGAAAGGAGCCACGCACUCAGGGCUGCAGUGGAGCAGGUUGAGAGCUUCAAGUUCCUUGAUGUCCACAUCACCAACAAACCAACAUGGUCCAAAGACACCAUGACAGUCGUGAAGCAGGCACGACAAAACCUAUUCCUCCUCAGGAGACUGAAAAGAUUUGGCAUGGGUCCUCAGAUCCUUACAAGGUUCAACAGCUGCACCAUCGAGGGCAUCCUGACUGGUUGCAUCACUGCCUGGUAUAACUGCUCGGCCUUCGACCGUAAGGCACUACAGAGGGUUGUGCGAACGGCCCAGUACAUCCAGGACCUCUAUACCAGGCUGUGUCAGAGGAAGGCCGGGAAAAUUGUCAAAGACUCCAGCCACCCUAGUCAUAGAUUGUUCUCUCUGCUACCACAAAUGCAAGCGGUACCGGAGCGCCAAGUCUAGGUCCAAGAGGCUUCUAAACAGCUUCUACCUCCAAGCCAUAAGACUCCUGAACAUCUAGUCAAAUGGCUACCCAGACUAUUUACAUAUCCCCCCUCCACACCACUGCCACUCUGUGUUGUCAUCUAUGCAUUGUCACUUUAAUUAACUCUACCUACAUGUACAUACUUCCUCAACUAACCGGUGCCCCGGCACAUCCACUCUGUACCGGCACCCCCCUGUAUAUAUUGUUCUUUUCUACUGCUGCUCUUUAAUUACUUGUUACUUGUUACUUUUCUCUUAUUCUUUUCCGUAUUUUUUUUUAAACUGCACUGUCGGUUAGGGGCUCGUAAGUAAGCAUUUCACUGUAAGGUUGUAUUUGGCGCAUGUGACUAAUAAAACUUUAUUGGAUAAGAGUGUGCCAAAUAUGUGACCAUUGCUGUACAUUCAUACCCCAGGGUGAGGGUAACUUUACUAUUGUAGUGGAACAUCUGAAAUAGUUCAGUGGUGAUUGGAAUCUGUUUGGAUGCGUUCAGUAAUUAUCUGGUGUUAUGGGAGCUACAAUAUAUAUAAAUUGGUUGAUUUAUGGCUUA